Long non-coding RNA from Micropterus salmoides (largemouth bass), 152 nucleotides. RefSeq lists it as uncharacterized. The record is from RefSeq and is a predicted model, not a curated record. NCBI's taxonomy places the organism in Eukaryota, Metazoa, Chordata, Actinopteri, Centrarchiformes, Centrarchidae. The transcript has 3 exons.
GCUUAAACCCUGCAGUGAGUCCAGAAAGCAGUCAGGACACGGCUGAUCCUGAAGAUGGUGUUUCCUACGCCUCCAUCAGCUACACCAGGAAGACCAACAGUAAAGGCCGGGUUCUGGGUAAAGAUGGUGAUGAUGAAGAUGAUGCAGUGACC